GAUGAACGCUGGCGGCGUGCCUAAUACAUGCAAGUCGAGCGAACAGACGAGGAGCUUGCUCCUCUGACGUUAGCGGCGGACGGGUGAGUAACACGUGGAUAACCUACCUAUAAGACUGGGAUAACUUCGGGAAACCGGAGCUAAUACCGGAUAACAUGUUGAACCGCAUGGUUCAACAGUGAAAGACGGUCUUGCUGUCACUUAUAGAUGGAUCCGCGCCGCAUUAGCUAGUUGGUAAGGUAACGGCUUACCAAGGCAACGAUGCGAAGCCGACCUGAGAGGGUGAUCGGCCACACUGGAACUGAGACACGGUCCAGACUCCUACGGGAGGCAGCAGUAGGGAAUCUUCCGCAAUGGGCGAAAGCCUGACGGAGCAACGCCGCGUGAGUGAAGAAGGUCUUCGGAUCGUAAAACUCUGUUAUUAGGGAAGAACAAAUGUGUAAGUAACUAUGCACGUCUUGACGGUACCUAAUCAGAAAGCCACGGCUAACUACGUG
Molecule: ribosomal RNA, 497 nt
Filed under: uncultured bacterium
Lineage: Bacteria
Description: partial 16S ribosomal RNA
Rfam family: Bacterial small subunit ribosomal RNA
Source: RNAcentral